This 490-nucleotide ribosomal RNA is filed under the name uncultured bacterium. Its description in RNAcentral is "partial 16S ribosomal RNA". It matches the Rfam family "Bacterial small subunit ribosomal RNA", at positions 30 to 507 of the family's 1533-position model. The record is from RNAcentral.
AUUGAACGCUGGCGGCAGGCUUAACACAUGCAAGUCGAGCGGUAGCACAGGGGAGCUUGCUCCCUGGGUGACGAGCGGCGGACGGGUGAGUAAUGUCUGGGAAACUGCCUGAUGGAGGGGGAUAACUACUGGAAACGGUAGCUAAUACCGCAUAACGUCGCAAGACCAAAGAGGGGGACCUUCGGGCCUCUUGCCAUCAGAUUUGCCCAGAUGGGAUUAGCUAGUAGGUGGGGUAAUGGCUCACCUAGGCGACGAUCCCUAGCUGGUCUGAGAGGAUGACCAGCCACACUGGAACUGAGACACGGUCCAGACUCCUACGGGAGGCAGCAGUGGGGAAUAUUGCACAAUGGGCGCAAGCCUGAUGCAGCCAUGCCGCGUGUGUGAAGAAGGCCUUCGGGUUGUAAAGCACUUUCAGCGAGGAGGAAGGUGGUGAGCUUAAUACGCUCAUCAAUUGACGUUACUCGCAGAAGAAGCACCGGCUAACUCCGUG